GCCUCUGGCUUUUAAAGCCAGGAGCUGGGGGAGGGGAAGAGGCCAACGGAAAUGGCUGCGCUGGGUCGGGCUCCGCCAGGGUCUCCUGGGAAGGGUCCUGGGGAUGCCUCGUCUAGGCGUGCGGGGAGUUCCCCGCGCAGCUAGGGGAAUGGCGGCCCAGCGAUCCGCGGCACUAUCGGCCAUGGGGGAGAGUGGGAAUACGCCCGACACCCACGCAUCCCGAACUCGGGGUCAUUUAGGGGGAACGCAGGUGAACCCCAUGCCGGCCCAGGAUGCCUCGCUUGCGGCCUUGAGGCGAGGGAUGUGCGGGGGAAGGGAGGCGGGAGACCAUGAAGCGAAUGCUGAGGCAGCGAAAGCGCAGUGUGGAAGCGCGGCGUGCGCCAAGUGCCGCAGUGUCUCCUGCCACUCGGUCACCCGGGCUGACCCCAUGCCCGCUGAAGGGGCCUCCCCGCCCCCACCUCACUCCCGUGAGGCCGACGUCGAGCUUUGCGGCGUCUCAACGAGUGGGGUGUGCAUGGCGUCCCGCCGCUUCCCGCAUGCGCUGCCUGACGCGGGGUUGGAGUGCACGCGAACGACCGAACCUGCGCAGGACGCGUGGAGACCUCCCGCCGGCUCUUUGCCAGAGGCCUGGCCCGGCACUGGCCCGACAUUCAUCUUGCAUGGCAGGCGUCCCCAAGAGGCGGGGACGGGCGAGACCGCCCCCUUAUCGCUGAGCAGCAGCCGGCGAGGCCCGCGGCGGGGCCCUCUGCAUCUGGAGGUUGUGGUGGUGGCGGCACAGACCCGAGGUGCAACCAGGAGAGGUUAGAGGCACACCCAGCCCCCAUAGCAGAAAGUCCAGGCUUAAGAGAGGGGUUCCAGGGCUGGGGGUGUGGCUCAAGCUGUAGUGCACUCGCCUGGCAGGCGUGUGGACCGGGUUCGAUCCUCAGCACCACAUACAAAGAUGUUGUGUCCGCCGAAAACUAAAAAAUAAAUAUUAAAAUUCUCUCUCAAAAAAA
This 995-nucleotide long non-coding RNA is filed under the name Ictidomys tridecemlineatus (thirteen-lined ground squirrel). RNAcentral's name for it is "lncRNA (ENSSTOG00000034835.1)". Lineage: Eukaryota; Metazoa; Chordata; Mammalia; Rodentia; Sciuridae. The record is from RNAcentral.